GACGAACGCUGGCGGCGUGCUUAACACAUGCAAGUCGAACGGAAAGGCCCCCAUCUUGGUGGGGGUGCUCGAGUGGCGAACGGGUGAGUAACACGUGGGUGAUCUGCCCUGUACUUCGGGAUAAGCUUGGGAAACUGGGUCUAAUACCGGAUAGGACCAUGGACUAGUGUCUCAUGGUGGGAAGAUUAUUGUUUUUGUGCCGGAUGAGCGCAGGGCCUAUGAGCUGGUUGGUGGGUUAAGGGCCUACGAAGGCGUGGAAAGGUAGCCGGCCGGGGAGGGCGGACGCCCAGAAUCGGACUGACGGACCGCACAGCCACGGACGGGAGGAGGCAGUAGUGAAUAUCGAACAAUGGGCGCCUGCCUGAUGCAGCGACGCCGCGUGGGGGAUGUCGGCCGUCGGGUUGUAACCUCCUUUCGUUAGGGACGAAGCCGCACUUUUUUUGGGUGUGGUGACGGUACCUUUGUUAAGAAGCACCGGCUAACUACGUG
RNAcentral lists this ribosomal RNA (489 nucleotides) under uncultured bacterium. RNAcentral describes it as "partial 16S ribosomal RNA". It matches the Rfam family "Bacterial small subunit ribosomal RNA", at positions 28 to 507 of the family's 1533-position model. The record is from RNAcentral.